UGUAUUUAUUAGAUUAAAAACCAAUGCCCUUCGGGGCUCCUUGGUGAUUCAUAAUAACUUAACGAAUCGCAUGGCCUUGUGCCGGCGAUGGUUCAUUCAAAUUUCUGCCCUAUCAACUUUCGAUGGUAGUAUAUGGGACUACCAUGGUUUCAACGGGUAACGGGGAAUUAGGGUUCUAUUCCGGAGAGGGAGCCUGAGAAACGGCUACCACAUCCAAGGAAGGCAGCAGGCGCGCAAAUUACCCAAUCCCGACACGGGGAGGUAGUGACAAUAAAUACUGAUACAGGGCUCUUUUGGGUCUUGUAAUUGGAAUGAGUACAAUUUAAAUCCCUUAACGAGGAACAAUUGGAGGGCAAGUCUGGUGCCAGCAGCCGCGGUAAUACCAGCUCCAAUAGCGUAUAUUAAAGUUGUUGCAGUUAAAAAGCUCGUAGUUGAACCUUGGGCCUGGCUGGCCGGUCCGCCUCACCGCGUGCACUGGUCCGGCCGGGCCUUUCCUUCUGGAGAGCCCCAUGCCCUUCACUGGGCGUGUGGGGGAACCAGG
This 541-nucleotide ribosomal RNA is filed under the name uncultured eukaryote. RNAcentral's name for it is "SSU rRNA". It matches the Rfam family "Eukaryotic small subunit ribosomal RNA", at positions 202 to 746 of the family's 1831-position model. The record is from RNAcentral.